RNAcentral lists this transfer RNA (82 nucleotides) under bacterium. Its description in RNAcentral is "tRNA-Tyr". It matches the Rfam family "tRNA". Rfam says of the family: Transfer RNA (tRNA) molecules are approximately 80 nucleotides in length. Their secondary structure includes four short double-helical elements and three loops (D, anti-codon, and T loops). The record is from RNAcentral.
GGGUAGGUGGCAGAGCAGCUAUUGCACCAGACUGUAAAUCUGGCGUCUUCGGACUUCGGGGGUGCAAGUCCCUCCCUACCCA